This 194-nucleotide ribosomal RNA is filed under the name uncultured Hydrogenophaga sp. Its description in RNAcentral is "partial 16S ribosomal RNA". It matches the Rfam family "Bacterial small subunit ribosomal RNA", at positions 338 to 524 of the family's 1533-position model. Lineage: Bacteria; Pseudomonadati; Pseudomonadota; Betaproteobacteria; Burkholderiales; Comamonadaceae. The record is from RNAcentral.
CCUACGGGAGGCAGCAGUGGGGAAUUUUGGACAAUGGGCGCAAGCCUGAUACAGCAAUGCCGCGUGCAGGAAGAAGGCCUUCGGGUUGUAAACUGCUUUUGUACGGAACGAAAAGGCUCUGGUUAAUACCUGGGGCACAUGACGGUACCGUAAGAAUAAGCACCGGCUAACUACGUGCCAGCAGCCGCGGUAAU